This 492-nucleotide ribosomal RNA is filed under the name uncultured bacterium. RNAcentral describes it as "partial 16S ribosomal RNA". It matches the Rfam family "Bacterial small subunit ribosomal RNA", at positions 29 to 507 of the family's 1533-position model. The record is from RNAcentral.
AGUGAACGCUGGCGGUAGGCCUAACACAUGCAAGUCGAACGGCAGCACAGUAAGAGCUUGCUCUUACGGGUGGCGAGUGGCGGACGGGUGAGGAAUACAUCGGAAUCUACUUUUUCGUGGGGGAUAACGUAGGGAAACUUACGCUAAUACCGCAUACGACCUACGGGUGAAAGCAGGGGAUCUUCGGACCUUGCGCGAUUGAAUGAGCCGAUGUCGGAUUAGCUAGUUGGCGGGGUAAAGGCCCACCAAGGCGACGAUCCGUAGCUGGUCUGAGAGGAUGAUCAGCCACACUGGAACUGAGACACGGUCCAGACUCCUACGGGAGGCAGCAGUGGGGAAUAUUGGACAAUGGGCGCAAGCCUGAUCCAGCCAUACCGCGUGGGUGAAGAAGGCCUUCGGGUUGUAAAGCCCUUUUGUUGGGAAAGAAAAGCAGCAGGUUAAUACCCCGCUGUUCUGACGGUACCCAAAGAAUAAGCGCCGGCUAACUCCGUG